UUCCGGUUGAUCCUGCCGGACCUUACUGCUAUCGGGGUGGGACUAAGACAUGCGAGUCGAGCGUCUCUAGCUAUGUUGAGACGCGGCAGACGGCUCAGUAACACGUGGCUAACCUACCCUCAGGACGAGGACAAACCCGGGAAACUGGGGCUAAUACUCGAUAGGUGAGAAUGUCUGGAAUGAUUUCUCACUCAAAGGACCUUGGAAACAUGCUUCCAUUGUCGCCUGGGGAUGGGGCCGCGUCCGAUCAGGUUGUUGGUGAGGUAAUGGCUCACCAAGCCUAUAACCGGUACGGGCCGUGAGAGCGGUAGCCCGGAGAUGGGUACUGAGACAAGGACCCAGGCCCUACGGGGCGCAGCAGUCGCGAAAACUCCGCAAUGCACGAAAGUGUGACGGGGCUACCCCGAGUGCCAUCCGCUGAGGGUGGCUUUUCCUUGGUAUAACUAGCCGAGGGAAUAAGGAGAGGGCAAGACUGGUGUCAGCCGCCGCGGUAAUACCAGCUCUCCGAGUGGUAGGGAUGAUUAUUGGGCUUAAAGCGUCCGUAGCCGGCUUAGCAAGUCUCCUGUUAAAUUCAGCGACCUAAUCGUUGAGCCGCGGGAGAUACUACUAGGCUAGGAGGCGGGAGAGGUCGACGGUACUUCUGGGGUAGGGGUGAAAUCCUAUAAUCCCGGGAGGACCACCAGUGGCGAAGGCUGUCGACUAGAACGCGCUCGACGGUGAGGGACGAAAGCUGGGGGAGCGAACCGGAUUAGAUACCCGGGUAGUCCCAGCCGUAAACGAUGCGGGCUAGGUGUUGGGGUGGCUACGUGCCACUUCAGUGCCGCAGGGAAGCCAUUAAGCCCGCCGCCUGGGGAGUACGGCCGCAAGGCUGAACUUAAAGGAAUUGGCGGGGGAGCACCACAAGGCGUGAAGCUUGCGGUUCAAUUGAAUCAACGCCGGU
RNAcentral lists this ribosomal RNA (940 nucleotides) under uncultured archaeon. RNAcentral describes it as "bacterial SSU rRNA". It matches the Rfam family "Archaeal small subunit ribosomal RNA", at positions 1 to 922 of the family's 1478-position model. The record is from RNAcentral.